CGCGGAAUUACUCAAGAGGCUGAAGAGGACGGUUUGCUAAAUCGUUAGGUCGGGUAACCGGCGCGGGGGUUCGAAUCCCCCAUUCUCCGU
This 90-nucleotide transfer RNA is filed under the name Streptococcus sp. BCA20. RNAcentral's name for it is "tRNA-Ser". It matches the Rfam family "tRNA". Rfam says of the family: Transfer RNA (tRNA) molecules are approximately 80 nucleotides in length. Their secondary structure includes four short double-helical elements and three loops (D, anti-codon, and T loops). The record is from RNAcentral. Lineage: Bacteria; Bacillati; Bacillota; Bacilli; Lactobacillales; Streptococcaceae.